RNAcentral lists this long non-coding RNA (208 nucleotides) under Elaeis guineensis (African oil palm). Its description in RNAcentral is "long non-coding RNA (EGUI_LNC078164)". Lineage: Eukaryota; Viridiplantae; Streptophyta; Magnoliopsida; Arecales; Arecaceae. The record is from RNAcentral.
CUCUCCAAGAAGUCAAAUAGCUCCUCUCUAUAAUAUAUAGGAUAGGUACAUCAGAAUUUAAAAUUCACUGCUGAAAAGAAGUAGAUACCUCAUCAAAUAUGAUUAGGACAUUAUGCUCUGACUUGCUACUGACAGUUGCUGCAGUAGCCCUUGUUCGAUCUUUUUGUUGUGGGCAAUCUCUGGCUAGAUGCCUCAAUUUAUUGUAUCG